This 494-nucleotide ribosomal RNA is filed under the name uncultured bacterium. Its description in RNAcentral is "partial 16S ribosomal RNA". It matches the Rfam family "Bacterial small subunit ribosomal RNA", at positions 28 to 507 of the family's 1533-position model. The record is from RNAcentral.
GACGAACGCUGGCGGCGUGCCUAAUACAUGCAAGUCGAACGGUUUAGUUCCAAGAGGCUUGCCUUUUGGAACUAGACAGUGGCGGACGGGUGAGUAACACGUAGGCAACCUACCUGUCAAACCGGGAUAACCUCGGGAAACCGAAGCUAAACCCGGAUAAGCUCCUUUUUCGCAUGAAGGGGGAGUGAAAAGGUGCGACCUGAUGACAGAUGGGCCUGCGGCGCAUUAGCUAGUAGGUAGGGUAACGGCCUACCUAGGCGAUGAUGCGUAGCCGACCUGAGAGGGCGUACGGCCACACUGGGACUGAGAUACGGCCCAGACUCCUACGGGAGGCAGCAGUAGGGAAUCUUCGGCAAUGGGCGAAAGCCUGACAGAGCAACGCCGCGUGAGUGAGGAAGGCCUUCGGGUUGUAAAACUCUGUUGUUUGGGAAGAAGGGAAAGGGUAGGACCCUUUGGUGACGGUACCAAACGAGAAAGCCCCGGCUAACUACGUG